GAUGAAGAACGCAGCGAAAUGCGAUAAGUAAUGUGAAUUGCAGAAUUCAGUGAAUCAUCGAAUCUUUGAACGCACAUUGCGCCCCCUGGUAUUCCGGUGGGCAUGCCUGUUCGAGCGUCAUUUCACCACUCAAGCCUCGCUUGGUAUUGGGCAACGCGGUCCGCCGCGUGCCUCAAAUCGACCGGCUGGGUCUUCUGUCCCCUAAGCGUUGUGGAAACUAUUCGCUAAAGGGUGUUCGGGAGGCUACGCCGUAAAACAACCCCAUUUCUAAGGUUGACCUCGGAUCAGGUAGGGAUACCCGCUGAACUUAAGUAUAUCAAUAAGCGGAGGA
This 331-nucleotide unclassified non-coding RNA is filed under the name soil metagenome. RNAcentral describes it as "partial contains 5.8S ribosomal RNA, internal transcribed spacer 2, and large subunit ribosomal RNA". The stretch from base 1 to 120 matches the Rfam family "5.8S ribosomal RNA", at positions 35 to 154 of the family's 154-position model. The record is from RNAcentral.